This 350-nucleotide long non-coding RNA is filed under the name Gossypium raimondii (Peruvian cotton). RNAcentral's name for it is "long non-coding RNA (GRAI_LNC011159)". Lineage: Eukaryota; Viridiplantae; Streptophyta; Magnoliopsida; Malvales; Malvaceae. The record is from RNAcentral.
GAAACCCUAAGGUUUCUGUUUGUGAUUUUGUUUUGGGCUUAGAUGAUUAGGACCACGGUUAAGUGUUAGGUUAAUUGGGUUGGGGAUAUUGGGCUAGGCUAGUGUUUAGGUUAAACACGAUUUGGUCCAUGUUGGGCGUAUGAUUUGGACUGUGGAUAUUUAAUUAUUUUUUCUUGUUUUUUUUCUGCUUAUUCUGAAUAGGCCCCGGGCAAAUUGGGCUAUUACAGUUGCCCCUCUUUGCUCGUUGUCGUAUAACGGGAACGGAGCAAAGACUAAAAAUGGUCAAUUUGCCCGGUCGUGCUGGACUUUGGUAAUUUCAUUCCAACCUACUGUUUCUUCAGAGGUAUAGG